AACGAACGCUGGCGGCAGGCUUAACAUAUGCAAGUCGAGCGAGACCUUCGGGUCUAGCGGCGGACGGGUGAGUAACGCGUGGGAACGUGCCCUUCUCUACGGAAUAGCCCCGGGAAACUGGGAGUAAUACCGUAUACGCCCUUUGGGGGAAAGAUUUAUCGGAGAAGGAUCGGCCCGCGUUGGAUUAGGUAGUUGGUGGGGUAAUGGCCCACCAAGCCGACGAUCCAUAGCUGGUUUGAGAGGAUGAUCAGCCACACUGGGACUGAGACACGGCCCAGACUCCUACGGGAGGCAGCAGUGGGGAAUCUUAGACAAUGGGGGCAACCCUGAUCUAGCCAUGCCGCGUGAGUGAUGAAGGCCUUAGGGUUGUAAAGCUCUUUCAGCUGGGAAGAUAAUGACGGUACCAGCAGAAGAAGCCCCGGCUAACUCCGUG
RNAcentral lists this ribosomal RNA (433 nucleotides) under uncultured bacterium. RNAcentral describes it as "partial 16S ribosomal RNA". It matches the Rfam family "Bacterial small subunit ribosomal RNA", at positions 29 to 507 of the family's 1533-position model. The record is from RNAcentral.